UUUGGGGACCUGUGGUUGACCCCUAAGGGGGAAAUCGCUCUAGCGGAGCCGGAGGGAAGGAGAGCAGGAAAAAGAAGCGGUCGGGCGCUGGAAAGGAGCCGCCUGCAGACUCGCUGCGCAGGCGCGCCCAUACUGAUGGGAAAAGAUAUGGGUGCGUUGGAGCAGGGGCUUUCUGGUUCUGAGAGGUGAUUUUCCCGGAAAAGAAACGCGGGCGGGCAGUACGAUGGGCGUGGUUGGACCGGUUUGCCGGGAGCCUGGGAAAGCGACUGCCUCUUGCUGUGGACUCAGUCUGGCCUGAUACUUAGCUUCUCAGAGUGUGAACACAGUCGCUGUGACACACACACACAUAACCACGUAAAGUCUUCUAUCUGGAACCUACCCCUAUGGUGUGGCUUACCUCUGAUGGCCCAUCCCAGCCUCUUAUCCAUGGGGAUAAGAAUGAAGAUGAGGAGAAAGCAUAGGAAUGAAGAAGGAAGAGGUACCUGCAAAAAUGCUUGGAGAUGAAAAGAAGCAUUGCAGGGAGCAUAAUCAGUUGAGGCAGCACACAAUGACAGAGUUAAUUCACCAAUGGCAUUUGCUGCCAUAGCUCCAUUGAGGCACAGAGGACAUGAAACAAUGGCCUUUUUCACAAGUGCAGCUUUCACCACAACCUGCCUGUCCCUGCACAACAGGGCAUCCGAGCGCCAGCCCAGAGCGCGGCAAUUGUCAGUGAACAACAGCCCAGAAGAGGCAAGAGGAGGUUUGCAGUAAAUAAAGCAAGAACCCCCAGCAACUUGGAUCUCUGCUUAUUCAAUCACUGGGACGCGACUAGCCCUCUGAGCUUGAGUUUGAGCUUAACCUUUGGUCAAGUGCUCCAAUAAGCCCAGAGAAAGAAAAAUUUCACCCGUGACUCCAAAGAACUCCAAAGAAAGGACACUAGAAAAAUAGGGAAAGCAGGACAGGAGCUGACAUGGUGGGCCACCAGGAAUGCACCAUGGAAGAGGACAGCAGAGACAAUUGCACUCCCAAGUUCUGG
Myotis myotis is the source of this 1015-nucleotide long non-coding RNA. RefSeq lists it as uncharacterized. The transcript has 3 exons. The record is from RefSeq and is a predicted model, not a curated record. NCBI's taxonomy places the organism in Eukaryota, Metazoa, Chordata, Mammalia, Chiroptera, Vespertilionidae.